GGGCUCACACAAGCGGUGGAGGAUGUGGCUUAAUUCGAGGCUACGCGAAGAACCUUAUCCUAGUCUUGACAUGCACGGAUUAACUCGGUGAAAGCCGAGCCAGGCCUUCGGGUACAACGUGCACAGGUGCUGCAUGGCUGUCGUCAGCUCGUGUCGUGAGAUGUCGCGUUAAGUCGCUUAACGAGCGAAACCCUUGUCUCUAGUUGCCAGCGAGUAAAGUCGGGGACUCUAGAGAGACCGCCGGCGUUAAGCCGGAGGAAGGUGGGGAUGACGUCAAGUCCUCAUGGCCCUUAUGACUAGGGCUGCACACGUCCUACAAUGGAGCGCACAAAGGGAAGCAAUGCCGCGAGGCCGAGCAAA
Molecule: ribosomal RNA, 360 nt
Filed under: uncultured bacterium
Lineage: Bacteria
Description: bacterial SSU rRNA
Rfam family: Bacterial small subunit ribosomal RNA
Source: RNAcentral